AGUAGUGUAGGGCACGUGUCCCAC
This 24-nucleotide non-coding RNA is filed under the name Arabidopsis thaliana (thale cress). Lineage: Eukaryota; Viridiplantae; Streptophyta; Magnoliopsida; Brassicales; Brassicaceae. The record is from RNAcentral.